CAAAGGGUCCUUUUCAGGACCAUCCUUCAAUAGCAUAUCAAUGAAU
Non-coding RNA from Phlebotomus papatasi, 46 nucleotides. The record is from Rfam. Lineage: Eukaryota; Metazoa; Arthropoda; Insecta; Diptera; Psychodidae.